RNAcentral lists this long non-coding RNA (1352 nucleotides) under Sus scrofa (pig). Its description in RNAcentral is "lncRNA (ENSSSCG00060049088.1)". Lineage: Eukaryota; Metazoa; Chordata; Mammalia; Artiodactyla; Suidae. The record is from RNAcentral.
AAAAAAUCUUUGUGAAAUUUACAUCUGGUUAAACUGGUCUGUUAAAUUAGUUUCAUCUUAUUUCAACCCCAAGGAACACCCUAGAUUUAGUUAUUACCGAGGACUGUGUUGCCACCUCUCAAAUUUUGCCAACUACCUCUCCCCACUGUGUCCAGCCACACCUUCUGGUCCCUUCACUCCAUCAUGACUCCCUGCUCUGGGGUCUCCUCUCCAUCCAUGCUCACCUCCUGUCCUCUUUCCUUGCCUUCAGGAUCCCUCAUCACAGUUGUGCCCUUGUCCCUUUAUUUUUAGCGCCGCACCUGCGGCAGAUGCAGCUCCUGAAUCGGACCUGUAGCAGCCAGCCUACACCACAGGCACAGCCACACCAGAUCUGCGCUGCAUCUGCUACCUACACCGCAGCUCAUGGCAAUGCCAGAUCCUCAACCCACUGAGCGAGACCAGGGAUCAAACCCAUGUCCUCAUGGAUACCAGUUGGGUUCGUUUACUGCUGAGCCCCAACAGGAACUCCGGGAGUGGGAUCCUGAGGCUGGUGAGAAGGGGUGUCGUGUUUGGGUUGAGAAAGAUGCUGUAACAAGUGUGACGUUGGAAAAGAAGAACUUCUGUAACCAUGUACACUGGUGCAUCGUCUGUUCCGGCUGCUCUUACCAAAUACCACAGACAGCUGGCUUAUCAACAACCAGUCUCACGGUUCAGGAGGCGGAAGGGUGUGAACAGAGUCAGGUUUUUGUGAAGCCCUUCUUCCAGGCUGCACAACGCCCACCUCUUCACUGGGCCCUCAUGGGGGCAAGGGUCCAGACGCUCUCUAGACCCUCUUUGAUGAGGGUGCUAAUCCCCUUCGCGAGGUCUCCAUCCUUGUGACCUUGUCACCUCCUAAAAGCCCAACCUUCUCAUACCACCACCUUGGGGAUUAGGUUUCAACAUAGCGAUUUUGGCACAGAAUAAACCACCACCACCACCGCAAACAUCUAAACAGAGAACUAAAUUCUCAAAAGUAACUCCAUCACUAUAGAAAAUCUCUCAUUUUUUACAUUAUUAAGAGACAAUACUUUUAUCUGUUUAUAUAUAUAUAUAUUUUUUUUUUUUUUUUUCUUUUUUAGGGCCACGUCUGUGGCAUAUGGAAGUUCCCAGGCUAGGGGUUGAAUUGGAGCUGCAGCUGCCAGCUUACACCACAGCGGCACCAGAUCAGAGCUGUGUCUGUGGCCUAUGCCACAGUUCGCUGCAACACAGGAUCCUUUAACUCACUGAUCCAGGCCAGAGAUCAAGCCUGCAUCUUCAUAGAUAGCAGUGGGGUUCUUAACCCCGAGCCACAACGGGAACUCCUCUACGAUGAGAAAUUCUGAAACUGGCUAGUU